GACGAACGCUGGCGGCGUGCUUAACACAUGCAAGUCGUACGGUAAGGCCCUUUCGGGGGUACACGAGUGGCGAACGGGUGAGUAACACGUGAGUAACCUGCCCACAACUUUGGGAUAACGCUAGGAAACUGGUGCUAAUACUGGAUAUGUGCUCCUGCUGCAUGGUGGGGGUUGGAAAGCUCCGGCGGUUGUGGAUGGACUCGCGGCCUAUCAGCUUGUUGGUGGGGUAGUGGCCUACCAAGGCGGCGACGGGUAGCCGGCCUGAGAGGGUGACCGGCCACAUUGGGACUGAGAUACGGCCCAGACUCCUACGGGAGGCAGCAGUGGGGAAGAUUGCACAAUGGGCGCAAGCCUGAUGCAGCAACGCCGCGUGCGGGAUGACGGACUUCGGGUUGUAAACCGCUUUCAGCAGGGACGAAGCUUUUUGUGACGGUACCUGCAGAAGAAGCACCGGCUAACUACGUG
This 465-nucleotide ribosomal RNA is filed under the name uncultured bacterium. RNAcentral's name for it is "partial 16S ribosomal RNA". It matches the Rfam family "Bacterial small subunit ribosomal RNA", at positions 28 to 507 of the family's 1533-position model. The record is from RNAcentral.